AUAGCGUAUAUUAAAGUUGUUGUGGUUAAAAAGCUCGUAGUUGAACCUUGGGCCUGGCUGGCCGGUCCGCCUCACCGCGUGUACUGGUCCGGCCGGGCCUUUCCCUCUGUGGAACCCCAUGCCCUUCACUGGGUGUGGGGGGGAAACAGGACUUUUACUUUGAAAAAAUUAGAGUGUUCAAAGCAGGCCUACGCCCGGAUACAUUAGCAUGGAAUAAUAAAAUAGGACGUGUGGUUCUAUUUUGUUGGUUUCUAGAGCCGCCGUAAUGAUUAAUAGGGAUAGUCGGGGGCAUCAGUAUUCAAUUGUCAGAGGUGAAAUUCUUGGAUUUAUUGAAGACUAACUACUG
Molecule: ribosomal RNA, 346 nt
Filed under: uncultured eukaryote
Lineage: Eukaryota
Description: partial 18S ribosomal RNA
Rfam family: Eukaryotic small subunit ribosomal RNA
Source: RNAcentral